UACGGAGGGUGCAAGCAUUGAUCGGAAUUACUGGGCGUAAAGGGCGCGUAGGCGGCUCGAUAAGUCAGAUGUGAAAUUCCGGGGCUCAACCCCGGAGCUGCAUAUGAAACUGUCGAACUAGAGUACAGUUAGGGAAAACAGAAUUCCACGUGUAGCGGUGAAAUGCGUAGAUAUGUGGAAGAAUACCGGUGGUGAAGACGGUUUUCUGGGCUGAAACUGACGCUGAGGCGCGAAAGCAAGGGGAGCAAACAGG
Molecule: ribosomal RNA, 253 nt
Filed under: uncultured bacterium
Lineage: Bacteria
Description: partial 16S ribosomal RNA
Rfam family: Bacterial small subunit ribosomal RNA
Source: RNAcentral